GGACAAACGCUGGCGGCGUGCCUUACGCAUGCAAGUCGAGCGACGUCCGUUCCCUUCGGGAAGGAACGGAGCGGCGGACGGGUGAGUAACACGUAAGUGAUCUGCCCAAAAGCGGGGAUAACCCACCGAAAGGUGAGCUAAUACCGCAUGUGUCCGGUGGUUCGAUUCACCGGGUAAACCUUUAGGGGCUUUUAGGAGGUAGCUUGCGGCCGAUUAGCUAGUUGGUGAGGUAAAGGCUCACCAAGGGCUGUUAUCCGGUAGCUGGUCUGAGAGGACGAUCAGCC
This 284-nucleotide ribosomal RNA is filed under the name uncultured bacterium. Its description in RNAcentral is "partial 16S ribosomal RNA". It matches the Rfam family "Bacterial small subunit ribosomal RNA", at positions 27 to 309 of the family's 1533-position model. The record is from RNAcentral.